This 86-nucleotide transfer RNA is filed under the name Actinomycetes bacterium. RNAcentral describes it as "Actinobacteria bacterium tRNA-Leu". It matches the Rfam family "tRNA". Rfam says of the family: Transfer RNA (tRNA) molecules are approximately 80 nucleotides in length. Their secondary structure includes four short double-helical elements and three loops (D, anti-codon, and T loops). Lineage: Bacteria; Bacillati; Actinomycetota; Actinomycetes. The record is from RNAcentral.
GCCGGGGUGGCGGAAUGGUAGACGCGGCGGACUCAAAAUCCGCUGUCCGCAAGGACGUGGGGGUUCGAAUCCCUUCCCCGGCACAA